CCAGCCGACGGGAUGCUCCUACUUCACCAUGCCCUCCCGGUAACGGGUGGGUAUGAAGCGUGGGGAACAAUGUAAGAAGUAUAUGUUACAGCAUAUAACCUGCUAGGAGUGGCAAGACUACGGAUCAACGCAAGUGA
Marchantia polymorpha subsp. polymorpha is the source of this 137-nucleotide non-coding RNA. The record is from Rfam. Lineage: Eukaryota; Viridiplantae; Streptophyta; Marchantiopsida; Marchantiales; Marchantiaceae.